GGUAGCUUGGCCUAGUGGUCUAAGGCGUUAGUUUUAGGCGCCAGUCUCUUCGAAGACGUGGGUUGGAAUCCCACCGCUGCCA
Molecule: transfer RNA, 82 nt
Filed under: Stegodyphus mimosarum
Lineage: Eukaryota; Metazoa; Arthropoda; Arachnida; Araneae; Eresidae
Rfam family: tRNA
About the family: Transfer RNA (tRNA) molecules are approximately 80 nucleotides in length. Their secondary structure includes four short double-helical elements and three loops (D, anti-codon, and T loops).
Source: Rfam by way of RNAcentral